AUUCCAUGAUGAGGACAUUCUGUAAUAUAAUCUUGAAAAUGUUCCCAUGCCUUGGUGAAUGAUUCAUCAUGUUGUUGAUGAAAGCUUGAGAUUUUCCCAUGUAGAGC
Small nucleolar RNA from Sorghum bicolor (sorghum), 107 nucleotides. It matches the Rfam family "Plant small nucleolar RNA R71". Rfam says of the family: R71 is a member of the C/D box family of snoRNAs containing the C (UGAUGA) and D (CUGA) box motifs. Multiple nearly identical copies of this snoRNA have been identified in Arabidopsis, and it is thought to function as a 2'-O-ribose methylation guide for 18S ribosomal RNA. Lineage: Eukaryota; Viridiplantae; Streptophyta; Magnoliopsida; Poales; Poaceae. The record is from Rfam.